GAUUGCUGUAGUGCCAGUUGGUCAGGUUACAGUGGCUCCUGGCCCAGACUCUCAUAGAGAUCAUGCUGUAGCAGGUGUUGCUGCUCCGUGCACUUCUCCCUCGCGGCCUGCUGAUGGAGAACAUCUGGAGAGCCUCUGUUCUACCCCUUCUUUCCUGUCCCCGAUAUGACCAGGCGAUGUAGCGAGCAGUGAGAUACAUGUCGACACAUGGUUACCAGGUCCCUUCACAGAGUACAGAGUGCCUCCACAUCCAGACCUGCCCUUACUGCUCCACUGACACUGAGGCUGCAUGAAGAAUUGAUGUGUAUGAGAAGGGCUCACCCUAAAAGAUCACAUUCCAUCUCUUUUCAAGCAGAUGACCAUGCCUUCCGUCUGCACUCCCUCCUCUCCGUUCCUCUUCUCUGUUUUUUUUCCCCGUACUUACAGACAGAGGGAGCAGCUCAACUUGACAUUGACUGCUGUGUUGUUGUAAUGCCUCUCAAAUCUUAUUAAAGACCACAACUGCAAAGGACCUUGCUGACUCCACAGAUUUCCAUUAACUGCAUUGUUUCAGUAUCCUACAAGCUGAUUAAGAAUUUAUUAAAAUGAGACUUUAACUCUGCACGCAGAUAUCUUAUCAACGCCAUAUGGCUGCAUUGUUGGUAGGCCGCAUUAAUAAACACUCUCAAUAAGCCCGGCUCCA
Molecule: long non-coding RNA, 682 nt
Filed under: Astyanax mexicanus (Mexican tetra)
Lineage: Eukaryota; Metazoa; Chordata; Actinopteri; Characiformes; Acestrorhamphidae
Description: lncRNA (ENSAMXG00005010023.1)
Source: RNAcentral